AGGGUGUAAACGCUGCAGACUUGGUGUUGGGGGCCCUUUGGGGGCAUUCAGUGCCGGAGAGAAGUUGUUAAGUCUGCUACUUGGGGAGUACGUCCGCAAGGAUGAAACUUAAAGGAAUUGGCGGGGGAGCACCGCAACGGGAGGAGCGUGCGGUUUAAUUGGAUUCAACACCGUAAACUCACCAGGGAAGACUGUUACAUGAAGGCCGAGAUGAAGACUCUGCUAGAUUUUCAGAGAGGUGGUGCAUGGCGUCAGUGACU
Molecule: ribosomal RNA, 260 nt
Filed under: uncultured archaeon
Lineage: Archaea
Description: partial 16S ribosomal RNA
Rfam family: Archaeal small subunit ribosomal RNA
Source: RNAcentral